RNAcentral lists this small RNA (1383 nucleotides) under Pongo abelii (Sumatran orangutan). Its description in RNAcentral is "retained intron". Lineage: Eukaryota; Metazoa; Chordata; Mammalia; Primates; Hominidae. The record is from RNAcentral.
UCGCGCGGCUCCCGUUCGCGGAGCACACAUCCCGGCGCGACGAGGUUCCUUCGGAGAGCGAGCGGGAGUCGGUGCUCGGCCUCCUGCGGGGAGCAGCCCGAGGCUUACUGAACCCUUCCACGCCGCUGUUUCUUCAUCAAUAAAAUGGGAACAUUCGCAGUCAUUUCUCAGGACUUUGUGCAGACAAAAAGUUGAUCAUAGAAAUCACCCCACACAAUGCCUGGCACAUUGAGGACACUCAGCACAUCUUAAUUUCCUUCCUCUCUGAAAAAAAAUCUGCAGGGAGUGGUCGGGAGGUGACAACGCCAGCAUGCCAGUGCUAUCGGAGGACUCUGGUUUGCAUGAAACCCUGGCCCUGCUGACCUCCCAGCUCAGACCUGACUCCAACCACAAGGAGGAGAUGGGCUUCCUGAGGGAUGUUUUCAGUGAAAAAAGCCUCAGUUACUUAAUGAAGAUUCAUGAGAAGCUUCGCUAUUAUGAAAGGCAAAGUCCAACCCCAGUUCUGCACAGCGCUGUGGCCCUCGCUGAGGACGUGAUGGAGGAGUUGCAGGCCGCCUCUGUGCACAGUGAUGAGAGGGAGCUGCUCCAGCUGCUGUCCACCCCGCACCUGAGGGCUGUGCUCAUGGUACAUGACACGGUUGCCCAGAAGAAUUUUGACCCUAUUCUCCCGCCUCUGCCUGACAAUAUCGAUGAGGAUUUUGAUGAGGAAUCGGUGAAGAUCAUCCGCUUGGUGAAGAACAAGGAACCCCUGGGUGCCACCAUCCGGCGGGACGAGCACUCAGGGGCUGUUGUGGUGGCCAGGAUCAUGCGAGGAGGCGCAGCAGACAGGAGCGGCCUGGUCCACGUUGGAGAUGAGCUCCGAGAAGUCAACGGGAUUGCAGUCCUGCACAAGCGGCCCGACGAGAUCAGCCAGAUUCUGGCCCAGUCCCAGGGAUCCAUCACCCUAAAAAUCAUCCCAGCCACCCAGGAGGAAGAUCGCUUAAAAGAGAGCAAGGUGUUCAUGCGCGCCCUCUUCCACUACAACCCUCGGGAGGACCGGGCCAUCCCUUGCCAGGAGGCGGGCCUGCCCUUCCAGUGCAGGCAAGUCCUGGAGGUAGUGAGCCAGGAUGACCCCACGUGGUGGCAAGCCAAGCGAGUCGGGGACACCAACCUUCGAGCCGGCCUCAUCCCCUCCAAGCGGUUCCAGGAGAGACGACUAAGCUACCGGAGAGCCGCGGGCACCCUGCCGAGCCCCCAGAGCCUCAAGAAGCCCCCCUGUGAGUAGAUUGUCAGGGAUGGCACUCCAGGGAGGGCCCGGGGUUAGGGCGAGGGAGGAUUCAGGCUGGGAAGAAGCAGGCAGUGGGCUGGAGGGGGCAUCAGGGAUCUUGUCUGAGCUCAUGGACU